GCAAAAGUUCCAUUUUUUCCCCCCCGAGGCGGAGUCUCACUGUGUCGCCCAGGCUGGAGUGCAGUGGCGUGAUCUCGGCUCACUGCAACUUCCGCCUCCUGGGUUCAAGCAAUUCUCCCUGCCUCAGCCUCCCGAGUAGUUGGAAUUACAGGCUCCUGCCAGCAUGCCCGGCUAAUUUUUGUAUUUUUUAGUAGGGACGGGGUUUCUCCGUGUUGGCCAGGCUGGUCUUGAACUCCUGAUCUCAGGUGAUCUGCCCACUUUGGCCUCCCUAAGUGCUGGGAUUACAGGUGUGAGCCACUGCGCCUGGCCGAAAAUUUCGUUUUUAAAGCUAGCAACUUUUUAAGUGCUGAAGAGGACUGUGCAGAAAUCCACCCAGUUAAACAUGAAGCUGGCCUUUUAAAGUCAGCCCAACCCUUUUUUGUUUCACAGUUUAGGGUCUAACAGGAACUAAAGGUAGAACUUUGGUAGUUAACAGCAUCAGUCAUGGCUGAACUACACCUGCUGAAGGCUCUUCUUAAGUGGAAAUAAUCUUCAUGGGGCUGGCCCGUGAAAAGCAUGGCCCCAGCUUCUCCCUUUCACCUCAGAAUUGUCUUCGGAUGGUAGCCACUCAGCCCAUUCCUAAAGGCCAUGAGAUUUUCAACACUUAUGGGCAAAUGGCUAACUGGCAACUGAUUCAUAUGUACGGUUUUGUUGAACCAUAUCCUGACAACACAGAUGACACAGCUGACAUUCAGAUGGUGACAGUUCGUGAGGCAGCAUUACAGGGAACAAAAACUGAAGCUGAAAGGCUCCUAGUGUACGAGCGCUGGGAUUUCCUAUGCAAACUGGAGAUGGUAGGGGAAGAGGGAGCCUUUGUGAUAGGGAGGGAGGAGGUGCUGACUGAAGAGGAGCUGACCACCACACUAAAGGUACUGUGCAUGCCUGCUGAGGAGUUCAGAGAGCUUAAAGACCAGGAUGGAGGGGGAGAUGAUAAAAGGGAAGAGGGCAGCCUGACGAUCACAAAUAUUCCCAAGCUCAAAGCAUCGUGGAGACAGUUGCUUCAAAACAGUGUUCUACUGACUUUGCAGACUUAUGCCACAGACUUAAAAACUGACCAAGGUUUACUCAGUAAUAAGGAAGUCUAUGCCAAACUCAGCUGGAGGGAACAGCAAGCCUUACAGGUUCGCUAUGGUCAGAAGAUGAUUUUACAUCAGUUGUUGGAACUGACAAGUUAGCAGUUUCCCUGUUCCCUGAAGGAACAGCAAUAAGAACUUUAUUCUAA
This 1261-nucleotide small RNA is filed under the name Pan troglodytes (chimpanzee). Its description in RNAcentral is "retained intron". The record is from RNAcentral. Lineage: Eukaryota; Metazoa; Chordata; Mammalia; Primates; Hominidae.